RNAcentral lists this ribosomal RNA (449 nucleotides) under uncultured organism. Its description in RNAcentral is "partial 16S ribosomal RNA". It matches the Rfam family "Bacterial small subunit ribosomal RNA", at positions 332 to 798 of the family's 1533-position model. The record is from RNAcentral.
UACACUCCUACGGGAGGCAUCAGUGGGGAAUAUUGGACAAUGGGCGCAAGCCUGAUCCAGCCAUGCCGCGUGAGUGAUGAAGGCCCUAGGGUUGUAAAGCUCUUUCACCGGUGAAGAUAAUGACGGUAACCGGAGAAGAAGCCCCGGCUAACUUCGUGCCAGCAGCCGCGGUAAUACGAAGGGGGCUAGCGUUGUUCGGAUUUACUGGGCGUAAAGCGCACGUAGGCGGACUAUUAAGUCAGGGGUGAAAUCCCGGGGCUCAACCCCGGAACUGCCUUUGAUACUGGUAGUCUUGAGUUCGAGAGAGGUGAGUGGAAUUCCGAGUGUAGAGGUGAAAUUCGUAGAUAUUCGGAGGAACACCAGUGGCGAAGGCGGCUCACUGGCUCGAUACUGACGCUGAGGUGCGAAAGCGGGGGGAGCAAACAGGAUUAGAUACCCCAGUAGUCCCA